GGAAUCUCCUUUUUACUCCUUGAGCCAGACCUGGAGGACUUCUUCUGGAGCACUCUCUUUCCACUUCUGAGUGCUGUUUCUCAGUUUCAGGCUGCCUGGAGUCCAAGCCAGAGAUACGAGGGAAUAGAAGGGGAAACUCAGUGCUGGUUUGUAGAAACACUUGUAGCAAGAUCUGUAAAUGGAAGUUUAGGCUGACAUCCCAAGAUGACAAAUGCCAGAUGGCAGAAAGGAUUGAGAUCAUUCAGGAAGAUGUGUAAAAUUUCAAGG
Molecule: long non-coding RNA, 267 nt
Filed under: Equus caballus (horse)
Lineage: Eukaryota; Metazoa; Chordata; Mammalia; Perissodactyla; Equidae
Description: lncRNA (ENSECAG00000033455.3)
Source: RNAcentral